RNAcentral lists this non-coding RNA (28 nucleotides) under Rattus norvegicus (Norway rat). The record is from RNAcentral. Lineage: Eukaryota; Metazoa; Chordata; Mammalia; Rodentia; Muridae.
UGCCAUGUUUGUGAGGACAGCCCGUGGA